GAGUUUGAUCCUGGCUCAGGACGAACGCUGGCGGCGCGCCUAACACAUGCAAGUCGAACGAGCGAGAGAGAGCUUGCUUUCUCGAGCGAGUGGCGAACGGGUGAGUAACGCGUGAGGAACCUGCCUCAAAGAGGGGGACAGCAGUUGGAAACGACUGCUAAUACCGCAUAAGCCCACAGCUCGGCAUCGAGCAGAGGGAAAAGGAGCAAUCCGCUUUGAGAUGGCCUCGCGUCCGAUUAGCUAGUUGGUGAGGUAAUGGCCCACCAAGGCGACGAUCGGUAGCCGGACUGAGAGGUUGAACGGCCACAUUGGGACUGAGACACGGCCCAGACUCCUACGGGAGGCAGCAGUGGGGAAUAUUGCACAAUGGGGGAAACCCUGAUGCAGCGACGCCGCGUGGAGGAAGAAGGUCUUCGGAUUGUAAACUCCUGUUGUUGAGGAAGAUAAUGACGGUACUCAACAAGGAAGUGACGGCUAACUACGUGCCAGCAGCCGCGGUAAAACGUAGGUCACAAGCGUUGUCCGGAAUUACUGGGUGUAAAGGGAGCGCAGGCGGGAAGACAAGUUGGAAGUGAAAUCUAUGGGCUCAACCCAUAAACUGCUUUCAAAACUGUUUUUCUUGAGUAGUGCAGAGGUAGGCGGAAUUCCCGGUGUAGCGGUGGAAUGCGUAGAUAUCGGGAGGAACACCAGUGGCGAAGGCGGCCUACUGGGCACCAACUGACGCUGAGGCUCGAAAGUGUGGGUAGCAAACAGGAUUAGAUACCCUGGUAGUCCACACCGUAAACGAUGAUUACUAGGUGUUGGAGGAUUGACCCCUUCAGUGCCGCAGUUAACACAAUAAGUAAUCCACCUGGGGAGUACGACCGCAAGGUUGAAACUCAAAGGAAUUGACGGGGGCCCGCACAAGCAGUGGAGUAUGUGGUUUAAUUCGACGCAACGCGAAGAACCUUACCAAGUCUUGACAUCCCUUGACGAACAUAGAAAUAUGUUUUCUCUUCGGAGCAAGGAGACAGGUGGUGCAUGGUUGUCGUCAGCUCGUGUCGUGAGAUGUUGGGUUAAGUCCCGCAACGAGCGCAACCCUUACUGUCAGUUACUACGCAAGAGGACUCUGGCAGGACUGCCGUUGACAAAACGGAGGAAGGUGGGGAUGACGUCAAAUCAUCAUGCCCUUUAUGACUUGGGCUACACACGUACUACAAUGGCGUUAAACAAAGAGAAGCAAGACCGCGAGGUGGAGCAAAACUCAGAAACAACGUCCCAGUUCGGACUGCAGGCUGCAACUCGCCUGCACGAAGUCGGAAUUGCUAGUAAUCGUGGAUCAGCAUGCCACGGUGAAUACGUUCCCGGGCCUUGACACACCGCCCGUC
This 1367-nucleotide ribosomal RNA is filed under the name uncultured bacterium. Its description in RNAcentral is "bacterial SSU rRNA". It matches the Rfam family "Bacterial small subunit ribosomal RNA". The record is from RNAcentral.